Molecule: long non-coding RNA, 1912 nt
Filed under: Zea mays
Lineage: Eukaryota; Viridiplantae; Streptophyta; Magnoliopsida; Poales; Poaceae
Description: long non-coding RNA (ZMAY_LNC000706)
Source: RNAcentral
UCCAGCAACCCAAAGUUGACUGGGAGACGACGGCCUAGACCUCUCACGAACACAUCGCAGCAUUCCCAAGCGCCUCAUCCUGCGGUACCUGUUCUUGACCUGUGGGGGUGUGAGACAGCAAGAGUGAGCUCACAUACGUUCAUCGCUCAACAAGUUGUGGGGAAUAAUGUGUAUGAACUCGCCAAAGGUGGGAGCUCAUGUGAAGUGUAAGGCUUACCAAAGAGGAUGGCUGAAGCUGAGCAUUGCUUUUAAAGUUGGUCAAAAUUUUAUUAGCCAUUACUAAGUAUAAGUAAAUACCAACCCAAUUAAAUAGUAGAACAGAAGUAACAACAUCACCUGCGAUGCAAUGCAUAUGACAAAUUGAAUUUAAGUUCCAUAGAUUAAUCAUGUGAGUGUCCGAGCUGCUCAUGACCGUGAGCACGGCUAGUAUACCAGUUUUACACUCUGCAGAGGUUGCGCAUCUUUACCCACAAGUCAUGUUACCCAUCUGCCAAGGAAUCCCUUGCAGGACCGCCAUCGCAGCAAAAUCCUCCCGAGGGCCUCCCUACACUGACCACUCCCCUACUGCCCUUGCCCCUUUCGGGUAAGGUAGUCUUCCACUAGCUUUCCUAAUUAAUCGGCCAAGGGCGUCCCAUUAAACCCUUGUGGUAGCACUGUUUUCCCGGGUGGUUCUCCAUGUUCCAAUUAACAUAAUGAUCUUAUCAUGAAUAGUAAAUAGCAACUGAUAACAAAAGUAUGAAUAAUAUGUAUCUCAAUGCCCAAAUCCACAUAUAGCACUAGCAAGUACUACCCAGAAAGUUUAGUGGUAAACAAGGCAUAAAGAUAGACAAACUAGGGUAACCUAUUAGGUCCCAUCAAAUUAUCCUAUGCAGAUCAUUAUGAUUAAUUAGAACAUGAGUGGGUAAAAGAAGUGAUCAAGGGCACAACUUGCCUGGGACUUGAGAUUCCAGGUACCAACUUGCUCAUCAGGUGACACGUGUCCUCACGCUAGUCGAAGCAAUACAAACAAAUAUGGUAUAUGCAAAAUUAACAUCACACCAAACAUAAGAACAAACUGCAUAAUGAUAAUUUACUCGUCGUAACGAUACCGUGGGUUCGAGAACCACUAAAUUCGGAGCUACGGUUAUUAAGUUAUGAAUUUCCGAAGUUAUUAAGUACUUGGCACAGGAUAAAUUAAGUAACCAAUUUUAAAUCUAUGUUUCCUGUCUAAACAGAGUUACUAGGUGAUAAAGAAUAUUAAAACAAAAUUAAUGUAACUGGAAUGGAUUUAAAAGGAGCUAAAAUGAAUUUUCUAUACAUUAAAUGAGUUUCAAGAUUUAUUUUUAUACUAACAAUCAAUUUAUAAUAUUAAUUAUCUAGUUUUCUCUGUUAUCUGGACUGUGCGUCAUUUACUAAGAAGCUUGAGGUUUAAUUCGCAAAAGCUACCAGACUCAGACUACUCCCGCGGGGACGGCGGGUUGAUUUGUGAAAAAUGCAGGGUCUCUUUAGCAAAUCGUCCAAGACGAAGGGGUACGGGUAGAAUUCAACCGUUGGAUCGGCAUUUGAGGGCUCGGAUCAUCCCAACCGAAGGGGUAUCUCGGUGUUUUAAUCACAGCCGCCCAGGCCAGAUCAACGGUCGUCGUUCGUCUCCCACGCCCGCGCUCGCCAGAACGCUACGACACCAUCGCAGAGCGGCGGCAGGUUCGCCGGAGACAAACCCAUCGACGACCAGACGCGCGAUUUCCUAAGUAGCCUAAUCCUAUACAAGAAUGGAGAUCAACCAACGGCCUUAGGAGUAACUUACCAAAAUUUAAGGCAGUAAUGAAAUCCGUCCGUGUGAGUGGCGGCACGGUGGUGGAAUUAGACCUCCGUUGAGAAAUUCCGGCGAGGAGUCCGUCACGUUCUACGUGGUACUGCGCCUUGAUGUCGUCUC